This is a long non-coding RNA of Phacochoerus africanus (Common warthog), 901 nucleotides long. RefSeq lists it as uncharacterized. NCBI's taxonomy places the organism in Eukaryota, Metazoa, Chordata, Mammalia, Artiodactyla, Suidae. The record is from RefSeq and is a predicted model, not a curated record. The transcript has 4 exons.
GACACCGGAGUGCGCCUGCGCUUGCUGGGGGUGGGUCCUAGAGUGCUGGGUGGGGCCCCUGUGUGCUCUGCGCUUCUCCCGCGCUUUUCCAGAAAAAGUGUGCAUUUCGAUGGUUCGGAGCGGGCCUACUCGGAUUUGCUAUUGAGGUCCCCAUUUAAGGGUUUUACCGGCCCUGGCACUCAUUCCUACGUCAACAAAAAUGUAAGCGCAACGGAACAGUAAACAGCUUGCACCUGACAAAGAGAGUGCGUACUCUACUUUCCCUAGGACAACAAGGGUACUACUGUUGAACUUCAACCACUCUGGGUGAUGCCAAGGAUACAUUUUGCUACAACAGUAAUUAUGCUUCUGGACCCUCGCCUGGUAAAAUGGAAAGCAUGUAAAAUGUAUGAAAUAGAGCUAGCUCUCCCGCCCUCAGUGUUAGCUGGACACAUGCAGCAGUAUGGCUUGACUUCCAGAAAGGGAUGAAAACCGAGAAUGAGGAAGUUGUCCAAUGGGAACAGAACAUUGCUUUCGCAGAGAAAAUAAAAAGAAACUCGGCUGUCUGCUCGUCUUCCCCCAUGUUCAGCCCUCCUUUCCAAUAGAGAGACUGGAAGAAAUGAGGAACUCUGUCUAUUGCUCCCAGAACUGAUGCACUGAUGAAAAGCAGGCCAAAUUCCUAGCAUAUUGUGGAUCAACACCUCUGGAUUCUGUUUUUCCUCUUCAAUCAUUGAACAUGUAUGUAUUCAGCGUUUAUAUGAUAUGCUACUUCUGGUGCUGAGAACACAGCAGCAUGGACAGAAGAGCUCAUUGUUUUCAUGAACUUUUUCUUCCCAGAUUUACUCAGCUAUGUUGACAACUAAAAGUUGUAUACAUUUAGGAUGUACAGUAUGAUGUUUUGAGAUCUAUAUAUGUAAGUGAU